RNAcentral lists this long non-coding RNA (3460 nucleotides) under Gallus gallus (chicken). The record is from RNAcentral. Lineage: Eukaryota; Metazoa; Chordata; Aves; Galliformes; Phasianidae.
CUCUUUUCGGUCUUCGUAUGAAGACUGAUUUCGGUGAUGUGUUGAACAGUGGGAACGCAGUACAGCAGUUGUUGGCAGGCUCGUGCCAGGGUGGUGGAAGGCAAGGAUAGUUUGCAUUCAAGAGGAGAGGAGCUAUAUACACCGGUCCCAAUGCCAUGGGUCUCUCAAAUAGAAUAUCGUUCUAAAAUAAUGUUCUCAAGCCCAGCCAGCUGGGUUCUGCUUCUCAGAGGUGUUUGGCAGUGCGUCGGCGUUUCGGGUUGUGUCAGUAACACCCGUCCUUCCAGGAAUCGUCCACAGUGCUUGGCGUGGCUUUUGCUGAUUGAAGAAAUCUGGUUUGGGAGACAAAGAAUCACUCACAGCUACAAGAAACAACGUUCCCAGUAACCUGCUGACAUGCACAGGAAUGUGUUGGAGGCUUUGGCUUACACUUGGCUUUUGGAGUACGUGCCUGCCUUAGGUAAAGUGCAGCAGCCACCCCCCCAGGUCUGCAGCUACUUCAGAAAUGACAUAUUUCACCUGCUGUGCUACAUUAUGAGCACUACUGUCAGUUUUUCCUCAUGCCAGAGGUCAGAAUAAAUACAUUUUUCUGGCAAGUGUGGCUAAAUACAUGAAAUAGCAUCAGGCUGUAUAUAGAGUACUGCUACAAGUUAAGCACUUACUGUGUUUUGUUUUAAAGUAGAUAUGAUACGGGUCAACUUAAGGCUACAAAGGGACACCUACACAUCAGAAAGUCACAAUGCAAUAUUGUUUAUCAACCUGGUGUAGAAUCAACGUGAUUUUCCAUUACAAGUUUACAUUAAAAUCGCACUGCAAAGAGCUGUAAAAAGAAAAUGUAGCUUUUGGCUAUUUGGUAGAGGAUUUGCCAUGCAUGGGAGUACAGCAGAUGCCUGGGGAUGAUGGAAUAAGAGAACACUUAGCUCUAAUGGCACAAAGCACUCCAUGCAUAUGGUUGGUACGACCAUUUUAAAGGCUGCUUUCUUCCUUAAUGAGUUUAUGCUCUAACUAAGGUGCUGUCGCUUUAGACUAUCUACAGACUUCAGCUAUCCACUGCUUAAAUAUUUAAGUAUCCAAUCAUAAAAACGGAAGAGUUAGGAAUAAUUGUUAAAAACAAUCCGAUCACACCACACUGAGUUAAAAUACAGCCUCUCCAUCAGUUCCUUGUGCAACAAGGGCACAAAUUAUGGGUCAAGGAUACUUUGGGUUUUGCUUUCACCCUUCUGAAAAGGGUAUGAAGUUAUUUUAAUGACACAGGACAAAUAAUCAAGGUUUGUCCCACGGAUAUGUCCAUGAUACCUACUUUUCAGAUUCUUCUACAAACUCACUGGGCCUUGGAAAAUGUCCUUAGCUAAAGAUGGAGGCAGCAAAGUCAGGCAUCUGGGAAGAUUUCUAUAUUACCAGUAAAGAGUGUUUAUUAGUCUCCUGGGAAGAUGUUUCCCUUCCUAAAGCCAGAGAUAUGAACCAAAUAAAGAUAUGCCAUAAUGUUCAUUUCUUACACAAAUCAAGUUGAGCCACGAUUCACCAGUUUCCCAAUCAAGCGGCUUAGGAGACACAACCAGCAGCUCUGCCUCAACUCUAUCUUCAUGGCUCUCUUUUAAAAGAAACCCAAAACGAGUAUCGCUCUAUUUAAAGUUUCUCAUCUGUGGAAUAAAGGCAGAGAUUCCAGCCUGCGAGGCUUAAAGUCUUACCUCUUGGACGGCGGUGUCAGCUUGCUUUUGGGCACUGAAGUUCCUCCAACAGAUGUGCGCGCUUUCAUGGGUGAGUUUUUUGCCACGGUGACCAUGCUUCUAGUAGUGGAACUGCCACUGGAAGAGCCUGUGCUAAGGGAAGAAGCCUGUGGCUUUCGAACUCCACUAACAGGAGCUGUAUAACUGCAUGCUUUCACUGGCUGCCUGGGUGUUAACAGAGAGUUUGUGCAUGACCCAGCUUUCAUUGGUUGGCGCACUGUUAGGGGAGACUGCCCAGCACUGGAGGAAUACCUGAGCUUACUGGGAGCCAGACCUAGAAACGGAAUGACAAAUAACAACUCAGUAUUUUAAGAACACAUCAGGGUACCGGGCCUCUUAAGGGCCUCCGUGUUUGUCAGGAAGUUUUAAACAGAAAAGGAAUUAAAAAAAAGGAAAACAAAAGAUAUCCACUAGAGCAGCGUGUAGAACUGUUGCACUGACUUGCUGAUGGUUGCUGAAUUCGUGAAAGUCGACUGCUGGGCACCUGCAGAUCCGACUCCAAACUCCGACUGCUUCUCACUGACUCCAAAGCUCGAAGGCUCGUCCUGGCCAGGUUGGGCAUGCUGUGGCGCAUCUCCUCUUCACUGUUGGCAUACUUCAGCCGGUCUUGCAUUGGGCUUUGCACAGAUCUCCGCGGGGGACGGAUACGAGAAGCAGAGGCCCUGCUAUAGUCUGCGCUGGAAGAAGGGGACUGACAUCUGGGGGAGCUGAGCGGAGAUGGUGAGUAUCUGUGAGCGCUGCGGUACGACAGGGAACAGUCGUAAUCAUCCUCAUCCUCCAGGCUGUACGUGUCGAACUCCUGGUCGCUGUAGGUACCCCUGCGCAGGGAGUGCAGGGAGGCACUGGAGCUGCGACGCGAUACGGAGGCUGAGCUGGAGGCGCAGUCCUGGCGGAGACCUGCAGGUGGGCGGUAAGGCAGCUCCAUGUCAUCCUACCUCACAGCAACACCUCCCCACCCGUGUGCAACACUACACAAGAAGCAAUGCUUCUGCUGGUCAUUGGUUUCACUUUGGAAGGAGGCCUGGGCUAACAUAACUGUCUUCGCAAAGACACGCUCAGCAUAUUGGAUCUCUAAGCUGGAACAGUGUCACCUGUAUCAGUGCUGUUUCAUCAGAGCAAAGGGUUAAUAUUCAAAAUGACCCAAAUUACUCUUUAUGUCACCUGCAUGAGUAGCAACGCUUGCAGACUACGCAUCGCUAUGCAAGCUGUUAGGUAAAACACACACACGAGUCUAAUUGACAGCGUGAAUGUUUUAGUGCAAUUGACUGUGCACCCACCUGCAUUUCAACAGGUUGAAGCAUAGAUCUGAACGUUUGCCUUGCAAGUGAAUAAAAACCUGCUUUUCAUUGUGUGCAUCUGCCUGGCCUCCUUUCAGCUCCUCACCCAACUGGUGCCUUUAUAGAAGCUUUCCUGCCUAACAGAACACAACCCACUUCUUACCAGUAACUCGCGUGGCAAACUGGUUUGAAGGGACUUUUAAGAAAUGAGCCAGUUCACAUUCUGAACAACUUCUUCCUCUCUGCAACAAGCAAAGCGUUCAUUGGAAGGAAAACAGAACUUAUUUCUUAUUUCUUGCGAAUCCAAUGAUGAAUUUGCAGUGCCCAACACAUCCAACUGCUUUGUUCCACCUCGAUCUUCAAUGAGGACCUUAUUCAAAUCACACUGAGGUCAACGCAAAUUCACCAGUGAUUUAAUGGGAGCUGCACUGCGGCCCUGAAAUCCCCCCACGCUGCGAC